Molecule: ribosomal RNA, 486 nt
Filed under: uncultured bacterium
Lineage: Bacteria
Description: bacterial SSU rRNA
Rfam family: Bacterial small subunit ribosomal RNA
Source: RNAcentral
GAUGAACGCUAGCUACAGGCUUAACACAUGCAAGUCGAGGGGCAGCGCAGUGUAGCAAUACAUGGGCGGCGACCGGCGCACGGGUGCGUAACGCGUAUCCAACCUUCCCGAUACUCAGGGAUAGCCUUCCGAAAGGGAGAUUAAUACCUGAUGGUGUUUCAAUUCCGCAUGUUAAUGAAACUAAAGAUUUAUCGGUAUCGGAUGGGGAUGCGUGACAUUAGAUAGUAGGCGGGGUAACGGCCCACCUAGUCUACGAUGUCUAGGGGUUCUGAGAGGAAGGUCCCCCACACUGGAACUGAGACACGGUCCAGACUCCUACGGGAGGCAGCAGUGAGGAAUAUUGGUCAAUGGUCGGAAGACUGAACCAGCCAAGUAGCGUGAAGGAUGAAGGUUCUAUGGAUUGUAAACUUCUUUUAUACGGGAAUAAAGCCCAUUACGUGUAGUGGUUUGUAUGUACCGUAUGAAUAAGCAUCGGCUAACUCCGUG